This is a long non-coding RNA of Gadus morhua (Atlantic cod), 686 nucleotides long. RefSeq lists it as uncharacterized. The record is from RefSeq and is a predicted model, not a curated record. Lineage: Eukaryota; Metazoa; Chordata; Actinopteri; Gadiformes; Gadidae. The transcript is spliced from 4 exons.
UGGAACAACUGGGAACUGCCAAGAAGGGGGUCUGUUUAUAAAAGAGCAUCAACUCGCUUAGGCCAUGACGUUCACCCAUCCCUUCCUCUGGAGCAACCGCUGCCCUGUGAAUAAGAGCCGAUGGAGGAGAUCUCAGCUUCGGUGGUGAUGACAGAACAUGAUUUCGGUUCUGCUCCUAAACCAGGUGCACUGGAUGCUGCUGCUGUAAACAUACAGCAAUUGGAAGAAACAGUCAAGGCGCUGAUGAGAGCUGUCACAGCUGAAAGUGCAUUUUCACAGAUUCUGUGUCUCAGACGCGGACAUCCUUUUUUACACCAGAUUCACGUCAAGAGAUGUUUUUUGUGACUUCUGGGAGGUUAUUCAACCAUCUGCCUCCAUGUUGGUUUAUUGGUCGAAAGCUCAGAAAAUAAACAAACAUUUGAACCCAUUUCUCCCAGUCCAACGUGUAGACUGCAACUGGUUGAGUUUUUUCUCUUCUGCUGCCGGGUUGCUGCAGGCCUGCAAGAGAAGGUGCUGGCUGACAUGUUUCAGAGCUGACUGAACGAAGUGGACUGCUGGAUUUACUGGAGCCAGGAGAUGGCUGCAUGGCAGACAAGGGUUUCACCAUCGAGAAGCCACUAGCUGAUCGUGGGGCAACGCUGAUUAUACCACCCUUCAAGAUGACAGUUCACUGAAGAGGAUGCUCU